CAGGAUGAACGCUGGCGGCGUGCCUAACACAUGCAAGUCGAGCGAGAUACUUAUGAACAGAGAUUCGUCAACGGAAUUAAGUGGAAAGCGGCGGACGGGUGAGUAACGCGUAGGCAACCUGCCCCUUACACAGGGAUAGCCAUUGGAAACGAUGAUUAAAACCUGAUGACACCUGGUGAUGACAUCUUCAUUAGGUCAAAGAUUUAUCGGUAAGGGAUGGGCCUGCGUCUGAUUAGAUAGUUGGUGAGGUAACGGCCCACCAAGUCAACGAUCAGUAGCCGACCUGAGAGGGUGAUCGGCCACAUUGGAACUGAGACACGGUCCAAACUCCUACGGGAGGCAGCAGUGGGGAAUAUUGCACAAUGGGGGAAACCCUGAUGCAGCAACGCCGCGUGAAGGAAGAAGGUCUUCGGAUCGUAAACUUCUGUCCUAGAGGAAGAUAAUGACGGUACUCUUGGAGGAAGCCCCGGCUAACUACGUGCCAGCAGCCGCGGUAAUACGUAGGGGGCAAGCGUUAUCCGGAAUUAUUGGGCGUAAAGAGUGCGUAGGUGGUUACCUAAGCAGGGGGUGAAAGGCACUGGCUUAACCAAUGUCAGCCCCCUGAACUGGGCUACUUGAGUGCAGGAGAGGAAAGUGGAAUUCCUAGUGUAGCGGUGAAAUGCGUAGAUAUUAGGAGGAACACCAGUGGCGAAGGCGACUUUCUGGACUGUUACUGACACUGAGGCACGAAAGUGUGGGGAGCAAACAGGAUUAGAUACCCUGGUAGUCC
RNAcentral lists this ribosomal RNA (769 nucleotides) under uncultured bacterium. RNAcentral describes it as "bacterial SSU rRNA". It matches the Rfam family "Bacterial small subunit ribosomal RNA", at positions 25 to 796 of the family's 1533-position model. The record is from RNAcentral.